Molecule: long non-coding RNA, 147 nt
Organism: Etheostoma spectabile (orangethroat darter)
Lineage: Eukaryota; Metazoa; Chordata; Actinopteri; Perciformes; Percidae
Exons: 3
Source: RefSeq, a predicted model, not a curated record
AGGGGGUAGGACCUGAACAAAUCGGGUUACCCUACCUUGGGUAAGCAUGGGCGCCUGGCCAAUAGUAGUGUGUGUGAAUGCUGUUGAAGGGCGGGUCUUGCCUAGAAGUUGCGUGGGUUCCAUAAUAACGCCUUUUUCAGAGAACAC